Molecule: ribosomal RNA, 253 nt
Filed under: uncultured bacterium
Lineage: Bacteria
Description: partial 16S ribosomal RNA
Rfam family: Bacterial small subunit ribosomal RNA
Source: RNAcentral
UACGUAGGGUGCGAGCGUUAAUCGGAAUUACUGGGCGUAAAGUGUGCGCAGGCGGCCGCGCAAGUCGAGUGUGAAAGCCCCGAGCUUAACUUGGGAAUUGCGCUCGAAACUACGUGGCUGGAGUGUGGCAGAGGAAGGUGGAAUUCCAGGUGUAGCGGUGAAAUGCGCAGAUAUCAGGAGGAACACCAAUGGCGAAGGCAGCUCACUGGGACGGUAUUGACGCUGAGACGCGAAAGCGUGGGGAGCAAACAGG